CUUUAGGCUUCUCUAGAAGCCACCAUUCGUAACCUCAAAGACUAG
Non-coding RNA from Hammondia hammondi, 45 nucleotides. The record is from Rfam. NCBI's taxonomy places the organism in Eukaryota, Apicomplexa, Conoidasida, Eucoccidiorida, Sarcocystidae.